Molecule: long non-coding RNA, 1810 nt
Filed under: Pandoravirus dulcis
Description: putative ncRNA
Source: RNAcentral
UGCCAGAAGACGAGAGCCAACAGAAAAAAAGGGAUCACGCCUGUUGCGAAGAAAAAUGCAAAAGGACAAAAUAUCGACUUGGCAACUAGAGAAAGAGUCGCGGCGGGAGCGACGGCCGCCCAUCCGACGAUGGUUUUUUGGUGUGCCUUUUUUUGUGUGGGGCGCACGAGGCGAGACAGAGAAUCGACCCACGACACGAAAAGGGGGCGCCAUGUGUGCCCUUUGCACGGCAACCCGCAAAGUUUCCCUCAAAAAUGCGCUCUCUGAAAAAAAAGAAGAAAAAAGAAAAGGAUGAAAAUGAUCCUCCGCCAGACUUUUAUACACCAUCGUGCGCACUCUUUUCUCUUUGUGGCCUGGUUGCCCCCGGCGUCUUUGCCGUGUAAAAGAGGUGCGCACAGCAAAAGGAUUGGAUGGGGGGCGACUAGAUAAAGCGCGAUCCAGCGGGACCUCGCGCGAGGGGCGCCGCGCCGAGUUGGGCCAGCGUCCUCUGGCGGCGCUCGCGCUCGUAGGCGUCGGCCGCGUGCGCCUCGGCGGCGCCAAGGGAGCAGCGCACGUGCGGCGAUCCGUUGGGCGUGCACGGCGCGCAUUCGCUGCAAUUUUCGGGAAAGUGCUGGCCCGACGCCGGGCCGCCGUUGAUGACGAUCUCACAGUUGGCCAGUUGAUCGCACCGGCUGCCGGUCCACCGGUAGGUGGCGCCGUUCUCCUCGCCGCCACUGUUGUGGCACGAAAAGCAGGCGCACCCCGUGGUGUCGCCCGUCCACCGGCCGUUGCCCGAGCACGACUGGUCGGUGGUACACGUGCCGCCGCCCCAGCCCGACUUGCACGGGCACACGCCGCCGCCCAGCGGCGACGGCACGGCGUCGCCGGCCGUCGACGGGUUGAUGAGCACGGGAUGGUCGCCCCAGCCAUAGUCGGCAAAGGCCUUGACCUUGGACGCCGACACAAGGGCCGCCGGGUCGAGGUUGGCGGCCGUGCACACGGUCUGGUCGGCCAGCGGCGAGCAUCCGUGGCCGGGAUUGUAGAGGGAGCCGUUGACGCACGAGCACGCCCACACGGCGUCGCCCGUGGCGGGGUCGCGCGUGGCCACCCAGUUGCCAAAGCCGCGCACGCAGCCCGAGGCGUGGGGGCCGGUGCCCGGCCCGUAGGGCGGCUCGGCGAUGCAGGCGCUCUUGGCCGUGUCGCACACAAAGCCCGAGCCGCACGGGUGGUCGGCGCUGCAGUAGCCCUUGACGUAGACGCACGUGUUGGUCUUGGCGUCGCACGUUUGGCCGGCGCCGCACGUGACCCCGCCGCAGCACGAGGCCUUGGGCGUGCAGGCGCCCGCCACGCACGUCAUACACGUGCCGCACUGGGCGUCGGUGGUGCACGCGAGCGUGUUGGCCUUGCACUGCCUGUCGAUGCACACGGUGCCGCUGCCGCACGGCGGCGUGCAGUCGUCGGGGUUGGUCGGGUCGUUGCCCCCGCCCCCGUUGGUGCCGCGGCGCCCCCACAGCCACACGGCGACGCCGACAACGGCCAGCACGGCCACGAGGACGACCGCGGCGAUGACGCCCGCGCGCCGGGACGACCGGAGGCGCCGGUCCUGUUCCAGUUGCUCUUGCACGAGCGCGCCGAGCGGCGUCGCCACGGGCACGGCGGCAGUGGUCAUUUUCUUCUUUCCCUUUGUUUUUCCUUUUAGGCCUGGAUCGCGCGUCGCUCUCGGGUCGACCGUAACAGCGGAUGCGCACAAAAAAAAAGAGGGGAAAAGAUGGCGGCGACUUUUUGCCGAGGGGAAAACAAACCCAAGAAAAAAAACACAAAGAGCCUGCAC